UGAGGAAUAUUGGUCAAUGGGCGUAAGCCUGAACCAGCCAUGCCGCGUGCAGGAUGACUGCCCUAUGGGUUGUAAACUGCUUUUGCAGGGGAGGAACCGGCGGUACGCGUACCGCCCUGACAGUACCCUGCGAAUAAGGAUCGGCUAACUCCGUGCCAGCAGCCGCGGUAAUACGGAGGAUCCGAGCGUUAUCCGGAUUUAUUGGGUUUAAAGGGAGCGCAGGCGGGGGCGUAAGUCAGCGGUGAAAUCCACGGGCUCAACUCGUGAACUGCCGUUGAUACUGCAUCCCUUGAGUACGUGCGGGGCCGGCGGAAUGCGGCAAGUAGCGGUGAAAUGCAUAGAUAUGCCGCAGAACACCGAUCGCGAAGGCAGCUGGCCAGCACGAAACUGACGCUGAGGC
This 400-nucleotide ribosomal RNA is filed under the name uncultured bacterium. RNAcentral's name for it is "bacterial SSU rRNA". It matches the Rfam family "Bacterial small subunit ribosomal RNA", at positions 355 to 752 of the family's 1533-position model. The record is from RNAcentral.